CCAGACUCCUACGGGAGGCAGCAGUAGGGAAUCUUCGGCAAUGGACGGAGGUCUGACCGAGCAACGCCGCGUGAGUGAAGAAGGUUUUCGGAUCGUAAAGCUCUGUUGUUAAGGAAGAACGAGUGUGAGAAUGGAAAGUUCAUACUGUGACGGUACUUAACCAGAAAGGGACGGCUAACUACGUGCCAGCAGCCGCGGUAAUACGUAGGUCCCGAGCGUUGUCCGGAUUUAUUGGGCGUAAAGCGAGCGCAGGCGGUUAGAUAAGUCUGAAGUUAAAGGCAGUGGCUCAACCAUUGUAGGCUUUGGAAACUGUUUAACUUGAGUGCAGAAGGGGAGAGUGGAAUUCCAUGUGUAGCGGUGAAAUGCGUGGAUAUAUGGAGGAACACCGGUGGCGAAAGCGGCUCUCUGGUCUGUAACUGACGCUGAGGCUCGAAAGCGUGGGGAGCGAACAGGAUUAGAUACCCUGGUAGUCCACGCCGUAAACGAUGAGUGCUAGGUGUUAGGUCCUUUCCGGGACUUAGUGCCGCAGCUAACGCAUUAAGCACUCCGCCUGGGGAGUACGACCGCAAGGUUGAAACUCAAAGGAAUUGACGGGGGCCCGCACAAG
Molecule: ribosomal RNA, 607 nt
Filed under: uncultured bacterium
Lineage: Bacteria
Description: bacterial SSU rRNA
Rfam family: Bacterial small subunit ribosomal RNA
Source: RNAcentral